GAGAGUAUAGCUCAAGUGGUAGAGUGCAUGCUUAGCAUGCAUAAGGUCUUGGGUUCAAUCCCUAGUACCUCCU
Molecule: transfer RNA, 73 nt
Filed under: Camelus bactrianus (Bactrian camel)
Lineage: Eukaryota; Metazoa; Chordata; Mammalia; Artiodactyla; Camelidae
Also listed under: 2 other names
Rfam family: tRNA
About the family: Transfer RNA (tRNA) molecules are approximately 80 nucleotides in length. Their secondary structure includes four short double-helical elements and three loops (D, anti-codon, and T loops).
Source: Rfam by way of RNAcentral